This 496-nucleotide ribosomal RNA is filed under the name uncultured bacterium. Its description in RNAcentral is "bacterial SSU rRNA". It matches the Rfam family "Bacterial small subunit ribosomal RNA", at positions 34 to 545 of the family's 1533-position model. The record is from RNAcentral.
AAUUCCCCUUGCYUAACACAUGCAAGKYGAACGAAGAAUGUAGCAAUACUUUYUUWGUGGCGAACGGGUGAGUAACGCGUGGGCAACCUGCCCGAAAGGCCGGGAUAACAGCGGGAAACCGCUGCUAAUACCGGAGAAGCCCCCAGGGGGGAGAUCCYKGGAGGAAAGGGGAAACCCGCUUUCGGAUGGGCCCGCGUCCCAUUAGCUAGUUGGCGAGGGUAACAGCCCACCAAGGCGACGAUGGGUAGCCGGCCUGAGAGGGUGAUCGGCCACACUGGGACUGAGACACGGCCCAGACUCCUACGGGAGGCAGCAGUGGGGAAUCUUGCGCAAUGGGCGAAAGCCUGACGCAGCGACGCCGCGUGAGCGAAGAAGGCCUUCGGGUUGUAAAGCUCUGUCAUCGGGGACGAAAAAAAUGACGGUACCCGAGGAGGAAGCCCCGGCUACUACGUCCAGCAGCCGCGGUAAUACAAGGGCGAANUUCGUUNAACCCUCA